AUUUGUUUCCUUCCCCACCACAGUAAA
This 27-nucleotide non-coding RNA is filed under the name Rattus norvegicus (Norway rat). The record is from RNAcentral. Lineage: Eukaryota; Metazoa; Chordata; Mammalia; Rodentia; Muridae.